GACGAACGCUGGCGGCGUGCUUAACACAUGCCAGUCGAACGGAAAGGCCCUGCUUGCCGGGUACUCGAGUGGCGAACGGGGGAGUAACACGUGGGUGAUCUGCCCUGCACUUCGGGAUAAGCCUGGGGAACUGGGUCUAAUACCGGAUAGGAGCCAUCUUGAGGGUGAGGGUGGGAAAGUUUUUUCGGUGUAGGAUGAGCUCGCGGCCUAUCAGCUUGUUGGUGGGGUAGUGGCCUACUAAGGCGGCGACGGGUAGCCGGCCUGAGAGGGUGGACGGCCACAUUGGGACUGUGUUACGGCCCAGACUCCUACGGGGGGCAGCAGUGGGGAAUAUUGCACAAUGGGCGCAAGCCUGAUGCAGCGACGCCGCGUGGGGGAUGACGGCCUUCGGGUUGUAAACUCCUUUCGCUAGGGACGAAGCUUUUUGUGACGGUACCUAGAGAAGAAGCACCGGCUAACUACGUG
This 465-nucleotide ribosomal RNA is filed under the name uncultured bacterium. RNAcentral describes it as "partial 16S ribosomal RNA". It matches the Rfam family "Bacterial small subunit ribosomal RNA", at positions 28 to 507 of the family's 1533-position model. The record is from RNAcentral.